ACUUAGAAACGGCUGAAGGGUACACUCACUACUGAAGUUUGGAAAUUAGCAAGAAAACACAAAAAUUUGGCAAAUACUAGCCUGUUGUAGCUGGUUCUUCAUGUUUCUUGGGUUUUAAAGGCUAGAAAAUUGUUGUUUUCUUCUGGGUCCAAAAUAUGAAAGCUAAUUGAUGAACUGUUGUUUGUUGCUAUUUAGAAGCUGCUGAUAUUUCAAUUUCUUUGCUGAAAGUUCUAUUGGUUGUUUCUCAUUGUUCCAGAGCCUUCAUUUGAAUGCUCUGAGGUAUAACUAAGUCUUUCAAGCAUGAACUUGAUUCUAAUGGAGUCAACUGGAAAAGCGUCUCAAAUGAGAUGAAAAAAAAAAUAUUUUGGAGAAUUCAAGAAGGCAUUCUACCGGGGAUCCUUCAAUUGAUAGUGCGGUGCGGAUCCAAUGGGAGCGUAGGGCAGCAAAAAGAUACAGUGAUUUUGUUAGCAAACUAAAAUCAAAUGGGGUGCAACCGGACACUAUUCCAAAUAAUGUGUGGAAAAGUUGGUUGAGAUUUUGGAAAGAUCCUAAGUGUGUUGAAAAGUCAGAAAUAAAUACAAAAAAUCAUUGUGAUGGGAGCGGAGUUGCCACUGGGACUCACACAUGUGGCUCUAUCAAUGUUGGGGGAGCAUCGCAAGAGACUUGAAAAAUAUCAGGAGAUAUUACAACAACAAAACAAACUCAAUCCGAUAUUGAUCAAUGUAAAGCAUAUUUUCAAGCCGCGGGAGGAGAAAAGAAAAGAAGAGUAUAUGAUCUUGGAUCUCAAGCACAAUGCUACUAUGAGCCAGAUCUUCAUGGCUCUUUUGGAUCUGAUGCUACAUCGUCAGCAACACCUCCAAAUGCUCAAUCAACACCGACAGGGAAUCUGGAUGAGUUAGUGAUGCGAUUAAUUCCUGCACUGACAGAUCAUAUAGUUCCUGUAAUCGUUGAGCGGGUACGUGAAUUAGUUUUCUUGCCCUCGCAUCAGCCAAAUACUGAUCUUACCAACCACCCAUUAGAUGUGGCACCUACAGUUCCUACAUCUUCUACUACUGCUAACAUCGAUGAGGUUCAUGCAUUGGAUUCUGAUGAUGAUCGUAACUCUCCAGCCUCGCAUAGCUAGCCUACUUUGUUUGGACUGUAUUGUUGGUCCUUGUGGAUUUUUUGUAC
Nicotiana tabacum (common tobacco) is the source of this 1170-nucleotide non-coding RNA. The record is from RefSeq and is a predicted model, not a curated record. NCBI's taxonomy places the organism in Eukaryota, Viridiplantae, Streptophyta, Magnoliopsida, Solanales, Solanaceae.